UUGGGUUAAGUCCCGCAACGAGCGCAACCUCGUCUAUGUUGCCAGGCACGGUAAUGGUGGGAACUCAUGGGAUACUGCCGGGGUCAACUCGGAGGAAGGUGGGGAUGACGUCAAAUCAUCAUGCCCUUAUGUCUUGGGCUUCACGCAUGCUACAAUGGCCGGUACAAAGGGCUGCAAUACCGUAAGGUGGAGCGAAUCCCAAAAAGCCGGUCCCAGUUCGGAUUGAGGUCUGCAACUCGACCUCAUGAAGUCGGAGUCGCUAGUAAUCGCAGAUCAGCAACGCUGCGGUGAAUACGUUCCCGGGUCUU
This 308-nucleotide ribosomal RNA is filed under the name uncultured Microbacterium sp. Its description in RNAcentral is "bacterial SSU rRNA". It matches the Rfam family "Bacterial small subunit ribosomal RNA", at positions 1075 to 1382 of the family's 1533-position model. Lineage: Bacteria; Bacillati; Actinomycetota; Actinomycetes; Micrococcales; Microbacteriaceae. The record is from RNAcentral.